Molecule: ribosomal RNA, 252 nt
Filed under: uncultured bacterium
Lineage: Bacteria
Description: partial 16S ribosomal RNA
Rfam family: Bacterial small subunit ribosomal RNA
Source: RNAcentral
UACGGAGGAUGCGAGCGUUAUCCGGAUUUAUUGGGUUUAAAGGGUGCGUAGGCGGAUCGUUAAGUCAGUGGUCAAAUUGAGGGGCUCAACCCCUUCCCGCCAUUGAAACUGGCGAUCUUGAGUGGAAGAGAAGUAUGCGGGAUGCGUGGUGUAGCGGUGAAAUGCAUAGAUAUCACGCAGAACCCCGAUUGCGAAGGCAGCAUGCCGGCUUCCGACUGACGCUGAAGCACGAAAGCGUGGGGAUCGAACAGG